Molecule: ribosomal RNA, 253 nt
Filed under: uncultured bacterium
Lineage: Bacteria
Description: partial 16S ribosomal RNA
Rfam family: Bacterial small subunit ribosomal RNA
Source: RNAcentral
UACGUAGGGUGCAAGCGUUGUCCGGAAUUAUUGGGCGUAAAGAGCUCGUAGGCGGCUCGUUGCGUCGGCUGUGAAAACCCGCAGCUCAACUGUGGGCUUGCAGCUGAUACGGGCGGGCUGGAGUUCGGUAGGGGAGACUGGAAUUCCUGGUGUAGCGGUGAAAUGCGCAGAUAUCAGGAGGAACACCGGUGGCGAAGGCGGGUCUCUGGGCCGAUACUGACGCUGAGGAGCGAAAGCGUGGGGAGCGAACAGG